GUCGGAACGGUGUCAAUCGGGCUGGAAACAGGUUUCCCGAGCCGAAUAAGCCGCCGGAGUCGAGGAGCCGCCGCGAGCCGAUGAAGCCGCGCUGCAGACGUGACACGUGGCACAAUCAGAGAGCGACGCGUGUGCAGGCAUCUCGGGUCGAGGCGCGGGUUAACAGGUCGCUCGCGGGUCUCGGGCCAAACGCGGGUGACGGGCCGCGCGGUGAUGGGCCGACUCGCGGGUGACGGCCGCGGGGUGAAGGCCAGGUGUUUGGGCUGCGGGUAACGUGGGUUCUGGGCCGACCGAAGGGACGAGACUCGGUUUGGGUUUCCAGAUCUGGAUCUCGGGUCGGACUUCGUCCUCUUCGCCCGACUCCUGCGCGAUUUUCCGGCGAUUUCGUUGGUAAGGGCCUCGCACUCCGGGAUCUGGAGAAGUUCGAAAGUCCGCCGUUCCGUCUUCCUUGCUGACGAUGUUUAGCGUACGGGAUUCGUCUAAAACCUACUCCUGAUGUGUGAAAAGGGUUCUGGGAUUACUUUUGUGGUGUGAAAUGGGGGUUGUCGACGUCGAUUCGUACGCUUCGGCUUCGCCGGAGUUCCGUCGGUUUUCUGUUCUCUCUCCUUUUUCCUUCCCGUUCUCGUUUCUUUGCAGGUGUUUUCAGGGUGGCUGAAGGUCGAGGACGCCAUAUUUUUUGUCAUCCCAGCCCUCGGCCGCCCUUUGUGGGUCGUGUGCGAGCGAAAACUCCGGCGAACGCCGGAGUUUUCGGUUCUGCCGACGACCAUCAAUUUUUUUUUUUUUUUUUUGGUUCCGUUACAGUGUGCAAGUGAACUAAAACAUAAAAUUGAGCUUUCUUGAGUAGUU
Cucurbita pepo subsp. pepo (vegetable marrow) is the source of this 846-nucleotide non-coding RNA. NCBI's taxonomy places the organism in Eukaryota, Viridiplantae, Streptophyta, Magnoliopsida, Cucurbitales, Cucurbitaceae. The record is from RefSeq and is a predicted model, not a curated record.